UUGACCGUGCAAAGGUAGCGCAAUCACUUGUCUUUUAAAUAGAGACCUGUAUGAAUGGUAAACGAGGGCUUAACUGUCUCCCCUUUCAAGUCAGUGAAAUUGAUCUGCCCGUGCAGAAGCGGGCAUAAUAAUACAAGACGAGAAGACCCUUUGGAGCUUAAGGUACAAAAUUCAACCACGUCAAGCAACUCAAUAAAAAGCAAUAAACCUUGUGAAACAUGAAAUUUUACCUUCGGUUGGGGCGACCACGGAGGAAAAAAAAGCCUCCAAGUGGACUGGGAUAAAUAUCCUAAAACCAAGAGAGACAUCUCUAAGCCACAGAACAUCUGACCAUACAUGAUCCGGCCACCAAGACCGAUCAACGAACCAAGUUACCCUAGGGAUAACAGCGCAAUCCUCUCCCAGAGUCCAUAUCGACGAGGGGGUUUACGACCUCGAUGUUGGAUCAGGACACCCUAAUGGUGCAGUUU
RNAcentral lists this ribosomal RNA (470 nucleotides) under Mekongina erythrospila. RNAcentral's name for it is "partial large subunit ribosomal RNA". It matches the Rfam family "Bacterial large subunit ribosomal RNA", at positions 1942 to 2561 of the family's 2925-position model. The record is from RNAcentral. Lineage: Eukaryota; Metazoa; Chordata; Actinopteri; Cypriniformes; Cyprinidae.